UGACCUAAACCCUCACCAGAGUAACAAUUGGAGGGCAAGUCUGGUGCCAGCAGCCGCGGUAAUUCCAGCUCCAAUAGCGUAUAUUAAACUUGUUGCAGUUAAAAAGCUCGUAGUUGAAUUUCUGCGUUAUCGAGUUAUUGACUCUUGUCUUUAAUCGAUUUCGCUUUUGGGAUUUAUCCCUUUUUACUUUGAGAAAAUUAGAGUGUUUCAAGCAGACUUUUGUCUUGAAUACUUCAGCAUGGAAUAAUAGAGUAGGACUUUGGUUCUAUUUUGUUGGUUUUUGAACCUUAGUAAUGGUUAAUAGGAACGGUUGGGGGCAUUCGUAUUUAACUGUCAGAGGUGAAAUUCUUAGAUUUGUUAAAGACGAACUACUGCGAAAGCAUUUGCCAAGGACGUUUCCAUUAAUCAAGAACGAAAGUUAGGGGAUCGAAGACGAUCAGAUACCGUCGUAGUCCUAACCAUAAACUAUGCCGACUAGGGAUUGGAGGUCGUCAUUUUUCCGACUCCUUCAGCACCUU
RNAcentral lists this ribosomal RNA (518 nucleotides) under Babesia venatorum (nom. ined.). Its description in RNAcentral is "SSU rRNA". It matches the Rfam family "Eukaryotic small subunit ribosomal RNA", at positions 521 to 1089 of the family's 1831-position model. The record is from RNAcentral. Lineage: Eukaryota; Apicomplexa; Aconoidasida; Piroplasmida; Babesiidae.